RNAcentral lists this ribosomal RNA (1421 nucleotides) under Bifidobacterium aesculapii. RNAcentral describes it as "16S ribosomal RNA". It matches the Rfam family "Bacterial small subunit ribosomal RNA". The record is from RNAcentral. Lineage: Bacteria; Bacillati; Actinomycetota; Actinomycetes; Bifidobacteriales; Bifidobacteriaceae.
CCAUGCAAGUCGAACGGGAUCCCGGACUUCGGUUUGGGUGAGAGUGGCGAACGGGUGAGUAAUGCGUGACCGACCUGCCCCAUACUCCGGAAUAGCUCCUGGAAACGGGUGGUAAUGCCGGAUGCACCGCGCCAUCGCAUGGUGGUGUGGGAAAGUUUGAUACGGUGUGGGAUGGGGUCGCGUCCUAUCAGCUUGUUGGUGGUGUAAGGGACCACCAAGGCUUUGACGGGUAGCCGGCCUGAGAGGGCGACCGGCCACAUUGGGACUGAGAUACGGCCCAGACUCCUACGGGAGGCAGCAGUGGGGAAUAUUGCACAAUGGGCGCAAGCCUGAUGCAGCGACGCCGCGUGCGGGAUGGAGGCCUUCGGGUUGUGAACCGCUUUUAUCAGGGAGCAAGGCUUUUGUUGAGUGUACCUGGUGAAUAAGCACCGGCUAACUACGUGCCAGCAGCCGCGGUAAUACGUAGGGUGCAAGCGUUAUCCGGAUUUAUUGGGCGUAAAGGGCUCGUAGGCGGUUCGUCGCGUCUGGUGUGAAAGCCCAUCGCUUAACGGUGGGUCUGCGCCGGGUACGGGCGGGCUGGAGUGCGGUAGGGGAGACUGGAAUUCCCGGUGUAACGGUGGAAUGUGUAGAUAUCGGGAGGAACACCAAUGGCGAAGGCAGGUCUCUGGGCCGUUACUGACGCUGAGGAGCGAAAGCGUGGGGAGCGAACAGGAUUAGAUACCCUGGUAGUCCACGCCGUAAACGGUGGAUGCUGGAUGUGGGGCCUUUUUCCAUGGGUCCCGUGUCGGAGCCAACGCGUUAAGCAUCCCGCCUGGGGAGUACGGCCGCAAGGCUAAAACUCAAAGAAAUUGACGGGGGCCCGCACAAGCGGCGGAGCAUGCGGAUUAAUUCGAUGCAACGCGAAGAACCUUACCUGGGCUUGACAUGUUCCCGACGAGCCGUAGAGAUGCGGCUUCCCUUCGGGGCGGGUUCACAGGUGGUGCAUGGUCGUCGUCAGCUCGUGUCGUGAGAUGUUGGGUUAAGUCCCGCAACGAGCGCAACCCUCGCCCCGUGUUGCCAGCAGUUCGGCUGGGGACUCGCGGGGGACCGCCGGGGUCAACUCGGAGGAAGGUGGGGAUGACGUCAGAUCAUCAUGCCCCUUACGUCCAGGGCUUCACGCAUGCUACAAUGGCCGGUACAACGGGAUGCGACGCCGCGAGGCGGAGCGGAUCCCUGAAAACCGGUCUCAGUUCGGAUUGGAGUCUGCAACCCGACUCCAUGAAGGCGGAGUCGCUAGUAAUCGCGAAUCAGCAACGUCGCGGGGAAUGCGUUCCCGGGCCUUGUACACACCGCCCGUCAAGUCAUGAAAGUGGGCAGCACCCGAAGCCGGUGGCCCAACCAGUGUUCUGGGGGGAGCCGUCUAAGGUGAGGCUCGUGAUUGG